This 401-nucleotide unclassified non-coding RNA is filed under the name soil metagenome. RNAcentral's name for it is "partial contains 5.8S ribosomal RNA, internal transcribed spacer 2, and large subunit ribosomal RNA". The stretch from base 1 to 121 matches the Rfam family "5.8S ribosomal RNA", at positions 35 to 154 of the family's 154-position model. The record is from RNAcentral.
GAUGAAGAACGCAGCGAAAUGCGAUAAGUAAUGUGAAUUGCAGAAUUCAGUGAAUCAUCGAAUCUUUGAACGCACCUUGCGCCCUUUGGCUAUUCCGAAGGGCAUGCCUGUUUGAGUAUCAUGAACACCUCAACUCUCAUGGUUUGCCAUGAUGAGCUUGGACUCUGGGGGUCUUGCUGGCCUAUGGUCAGCUCCUCUCAAAUAAAUCAGCUUGCCAGUGUUUGGUGGCAUCACAGGUGUGAUAACUAUCUACGCUUGUGGUUUCCAUCAGGUAACCUUCAGUGAUGGAGGUUCGCUGGAGCUCAUAAAUGUCCCUCCUCAGCGAGGACAGCUUUUUGAACGUUUGAUCUCAAAUCAGGUAGGACUACCCGCUGAACUUAAGCAUAUCAAUAAGCGGAGGA